Molecule: ribosomal RNA, 401 nt
Filed under: uncultured bacterium
Lineage: Bacteria
Description: bacterial SSU rRNA
Rfam family: Bacterial small subunit ribosomal RNA
Source: RNAcentral
GUUUGAUCCUGGCUCAGAUUGAACGCUGGCGGCAUGCCUUACACAUGCAAGUCGAACGGUAACGGGCCUUCGGGUGCCGACGAGUGGCGAACGGGUGAGUAAUGUAUCGGAACGUACCUUUCAGUGGGGGAUAACGUAGCGAAAGUUACGCUAAUACCGCAUAUUCUGUGCGCAGGAAAGCAGGGGAUCGCAAGACCUUGCGCUGAUUGAGCGGCCGAUAUCAGAUUAGCUAGUUGGUGAGGUAAAGGCUCACCAAGGCGACGAUCUGUAGCGGGUCUGAGAGGAUGAUCAGCCACACUGGGACUGAGACACGGCCCAGACUCCUACGGGAGGCAGCAGUGGGGAAUUUUGGACAAUGGGCGCAAGCCUGAUCCAGCCAUUCCGCGUGCAGGACUAAGGCC